AAACAAAGUCAUAAUCAGUUAAUAAAUAUAUUUGAACAUGAGAAAUGAAUAUAAAAUUCAAUUACACAAGUUACAAACAAACUACACAUUUAAAAAAAUUAGAAGACUAAACUGAAUUUAUCCCUGCAGACUACCAAAAUACUGAGCACUGAAUCCAAAUCUAUACUACCAAAAAAGGUCAGUCAGAAAAGCACACACCUGGUAUUAACCAAU
RNAcentral lists this long non-coding RNA (213 nucleotides) under Mytilus galloprovincialis (Mediterranean mussel). Lineage: Eukaryota; Metazoa; Mollusca; Bivalvia; Mytilida; Mytilidae. The record is from RNAcentral.